RNAcentral lists this non-coding RNA (28 nucleotides) under Mus musculus (house mouse). The record is from RNAcentral. Lineage: Eukaryota; Metazoa; Chordata; Mammalia; Rodentia; Muridae.
UAAACUUGAAACUUUAUUUGUCUACCAC